This 253-nucleotide ribosomal RNA is filed under the name uncultured bacterium. Its description in RNAcentral is "partial 16S ribosomal RNA". It matches the Rfam family "Bacterial small subunit ribosomal RNA", at positions 524 to 776 of the family's 1533-position model. The record is from RNAcentral.
UACAGAGGGUGCAAGCGUUAAUCGGAAUUACUGGGCGUAAAGCGUGCGCAGUCGGCAAUUUAAGUCGGGUGUGAAAUCCCCGGGCUCAACCUGGGAAUUGCAUUCGAUACUGGAUCGCUAGAGUUCGGCAGAGGAAAGUGGAAUUUCUGGUGUAGCGGUGAAAUGCGUAGAUAUCAGAAGGAACAUCAGUGGCGAAAGCGACUUCCUGGACCAGAACUGACGAUCAGGCACGAAAGCGUGGGGAGCAAACAGG